This 578-nucleotide ribosomal RNA is filed under the name Veillonella dispar. RNAcentral's name for it is "bacterial SSU rRNA". It matches the Rfam family "Bacterial small subunit ribosomal RNA", at positions 366 to 936 of the family's 1533-position model. The record is from RNAcentral. Lineage: Bacteria; Bacillati; Bacillota; Negativicutes; Veillonellales; Veillonellaceae.
CCGCAAUGGACGAAAGUCUGACGGAGCAACGCCGCGUGAGUGAUGACGGCCUUCGGGUUGUAAAGCUCUGUUAAUCGGGACGAAAGGCCUUCUUGCGAAUAGUUAGAAGGAUUGACGGUACCGGAAUAGAAAGCCACGGCUAACUACGUGCCAGCAGCCGCGGUAAUACGUAGGUGGCAAGCGUUGUCCGGAAUUAUUGGGCGUAAAGCGCGCGCAGGCGGAUAGGUCAGUCUGUCUUAAAAGUUCGGGGCUUAACCCCGUGAUGGGAUGGAAACUGCCAAUCUAGAGUAUCGGAGAGGAAAGUGGAAUUCCUAGUGUAGCGGUGAAAUGCGUAGAUAUUAGGAAGAACACCAGUGGCGAAGGCGACUUUCUGGACGAAAACUGACGCUGAGGCGCGAAAGCCAGGGGAGCGAACGGGAUUAGAUACCCCGGUAGUCCUGGCCGUAAACGAUGGGUACUAGGUGUAGGAGGUAUCGACCCCUUCUGUGCCGGAGUUAACGCAAUAAGUACCCCGCCUGGGGAGUCGACCGCAAGGUUGAAACUCAAAGGAAUUGACGGGGGCCCGCACAAGCGGUGGA